AACGAACGCUGGCGGCAGGCUUAACACAUGCAAGUCGAACGAGAUCUUCGGAUCUAGUGGCAGACGGGUGGGGAACACGUGGGAACAUCCCUUUCAGUUCGGAAUAACGUUGGGAAACUAACGCUAAUACCGGAUACGUCCUUCGGGAGAAAGAUUUAUCGCUGAAAGAUUGGCCCGCGUCUGAUUAGCUAGUUGGUGAGGUAAUGGCUCACCAAGGCUACGAUCAGUAGCUGAUCUGAGAGGAUGAUCAGCCACAUUGGGACUGAGACACGGCCCAAACUCCUACGGGAGGCAGCAGUGGGGAAUAUUGGACAAUGGGCGCAAGCCUGACCCAGCCAUGCCGCGUGAGUGAUGAAGGCCUUCGGGUUGUAAAGCUCUUUUAUCCGGGAAGAUAAUGACUGUACCGGAAGAAUAAGCCCCGGCAAACUUCGUGCCAGCCGCCGCAGUAA
This 449-nucleotide ribosomal RNA is filed under the name uncultured bacterium. RNAcentral's name for it is "partial 16S ribosomal RNA". It matches the Rfam family "Bacterial small subunit ribosomal RNA", at positions 29 to 523 of the family's 1533-position model. The record is from RNAcentral.